Molecule: microRNA, 22 nt
Filed under: Panagrellus redivivus
Lineage: Eukaryota; Metazoa; Nematoda; Chromadorea; Rhabditida; Panagrolaimidae
Description: prd-miR-7907a-5p
Source: miRBase by way of RNAcentral
AGCCAUAUCCAAUGUUCCUCCU